Molecule: transfer RNA, 88 nt
Filed under: Janthinobacterium sp. MP5059B
Lineage: Bacteria; Pseudomonadati; Pseudomonadota; Betaproteobacteria; Burkholderiales; Oxalobacteraceae
Description: tRNA-Cys
Source: RNAcentral
CGACCUUGUGGUUGAUGGCGCGGCGCUGGGCUGGCUGCAGCUUGGCCAGCAGGGCGCCGGCCCAGGCUUCCAGCGCGUGCAGGUCGUC